CGCCUCUUGUACACUCAAUAAGAGGUCCAGCCUGCCCAGUGACCCUGUUCAACGGCCGCGGUAUCCUAACCGUGCGAAGGUAGCGUAAUCACUUGUUCUUUAAAUGAGGACUAGUAUGAAUGGCAUCACGAAGGUUAUACUGUCUCCUCUCUCUAAUCAGUGAAACUAAUCUCCCCGUGAAGAAGCGGGGAUGAUCAUAUAAGACGAGAAGACCCUAUGGAGCUUUAAACUAAGAAGCAAUUGCCCUCAUACCUUUGAAAUUCCAGAAAACUAAUGAGUACAAGGCACUGUGACUUCCAGUUUUAGGUUGGGGUGACCACGGAGUAAAAACUAACCUCCGCACUGAAUAGGGGCCUUCCCUAAACUAAGGGCCACAACCCUAAGAAUCAAUACAUUGACAGCAAUUGACCCAAAAAUUUGAUCAAUGAACCAAGUUACCCUAGGGAUAACAGCGCAAUCCACUUCAAGAGCUCCUAUCGACAAGUGGGUUUACGACCUCGAUGUUGGAUCAGGGUACCCCAGUGGUGCAGCCGCUACUAACGGUUCGUUUGUUCAACGAUUAAAACCCUACGUGAUCUGAGU
This 582-nucleotide ribosomal RNA is filed under the name Leptodactylus vastus. Its description in RNAcentral is "LSU rRNA". It matches the Rfam family "Bacterial large subunit ribosomal RNA", at positions 1817 to 2610 of the family's 2925-position model. The record is from RNAcentral. Lineage: Eukaryota; Metazoa; Chordata; Amphibia; Anura; Leptodactylidae.